This 152-nucleotide long non-coding RNA is filed under the name Anser brachyrhynchus (Pink-footed goose). RNAcentral's name for it is "lncRNA (ENSABRG00000005522.1)". Lineage: Eukaryota; Metazoa; Chordata; Aves; Anseriformes; Anatidae. The record is from RNAcentral.
UGAGCGCUCUCAACAGACAGCUGUGAAAGUAAAUGGGAGCUGUGUGAAAGCAUUUGAGAGGGAGCAGGAACAAAGCAAGCACUGGGCAGAGGAGCUACAGAACUCUGGUUCAUGAUGUAAAGCAUUGGUUCACAGUGAAGAUCCAAAGGGCA